GGAGGGGUGGCCGAGCCUGGUUGAAGGCGCGCGAUUCGAAAUCGCGUAUCCCCAUAAAAGGGGAUCGUGGGUUCAAAUCCCACCCCCUCCG
RNAcentral lists this transfer RNA (91 nucleotides) under marine sediment metagenome. It matches the Rfam family "tRNA". Rfam says of the family: Transfer RNA (tRNA) molecules are approximately 80 nucleotides in length. Their secondary structure includes four short double-helical elements and three loops (D, anti-codon, and T loops). The record is from RNAcentral.